RNAcentral lists this ribosomal RNA (252 nucleotides) under uncultured bacterium. RNAcentral describes it as "partial 16S ribosomal RNA". It matches the Rfam family "Bacterial small subunit ribosomal RNA", at positions 524 to 776 of the family's 1533-position model. The record is from RNAcentral.
UACGAAGGGGGCUAGCGUUGCUCGGAAUCACUGGGCGUAAAGCGCACGUAGGCGGAUUGCUAAGUCAGGGGUGAAAUCCUGGAGCUCAACUCCAGAACUGCCUUUGAUACUGGCGAUCUCGAGUCCGGGAGAGGUGAGUGGAACUGCGAGUGUAGAGGUGAAAUUCGUAGAUAUCCGGAGGAAUACCAAGGCGAAGGCAGUGUCCUGGCAAGUAACUGACGCUGAGGCGCGAAAGCUAGGGGAGCGAACAGG